Molecule: ribosomal RNA, 253 nt
Filed under: uncultured bacterium
Lineage: Bacteria
Description: partial 16S ribosomal RNA
Rfam family: Bacterial small subunit ribosomal RNA
Source: RNAcentral
UACAGAGGUCCCGAGCGUUGUUCGGAUUCACUGGGCGUAAAGGGUGCGUAGGUGGCGAGGUAAGUCGGAUGUGAAAGCUCGGAGCUCAACUCCGAAAUGGCAUUGGAAACUACCUUGCUCGAGGGUUGGAGGGGGGACUGGAAUGCUUGGUGUAGCAGUGAAAUGCGUAGAUAUCAAGCGGAACACCGGUGGCGAAGGCGGCGACCUGGUCCGUGACUGACGCUGAGGCGCGAAAGCUAGGGUAGCGAACGGG